AGAGUUUGAUCCUGGCUCAGGACGAACGCUGGCGGCGUGCUUAACACAUGCAAGUCGAACGGAAAGGCCCUUCGGGGUACUCGAGUGGCGAACGGGUGAGUAACACGUGGGUGAUCUGCCCUGCACUUUGGGAUAAGCCUGGGAAACUGGGUCUAAUACCGGAUAGGACUACGGCCUGCAUGGGUUGUGGUGGAAAGCUUUUGCGGUGUGGGAUGGGCCCGCGGCCUAUCAGCUUGUUGGUGAGGUUACGGCUCACCAAGGCGACGACGGGUAGCCGGCCUGAGAGGGUGUCCGGCCACACUGGGACUGAGAUACGGCCCAGACUCCUACGGGAGGCAGCAGUGGGGAAUAUUGCACAAUGGGCGCAAGCCUGAUGCAGCGACGCCGCGUGAGGGAUGACGGCCUUCGGGUUGUAAACCUCUUUCAACAGGGACGAAGCGAAAGUGACGGUACCUGUAGAAGAAGCACCGGCCAACUACGUGCCAGCAGCCGCGGUAAUACGUAGGGUGCGAGCGUUGUCCGGAAUUACUGGGCGUAAAGAGCUCGUAGGUGGUUUGUCGCGUUGUUCGUGAAAACUCACAGCUCAACUGUGGGCGUGCGGGCGAUACGGGCAGACUGGAGUACUGCAGGGGAGACUGGAAUUCCUGGUGUAGCGGUGGAAUGCGCAGAUAUCAGGAGGAACACCGGUGGCGAAGGCGGGUCUCUGGGCAGUAACUGACGCUGAGGAGCGAAAGCGUGGGGAGCGAACAGGAUUAGAUACCCCCGUAGUCC
RNAcentral lists this ribosomal RNA (771 nucleotides) under uncultured bacterium. RNAcentral's name for it is "bacterial SSU rRNA". It matches the Rfam family "Bacterial small subunit ribosomal RNA", at positions 8 to 796 of the family's 1533-position model. The record is from RNAcentral.